AGUGAACGCUGGCGGUAGGCCUAACACAUGCAAGUCGAACGGCAGCACAGUAAGAGCUUGCUCUUACGGGUGGCGAGUGGCGGACGGGUGAGGAAUACAUCGGAAUCUACUUUUUCGUGGGGGAUAACGUAGGGAAACUUACGCUAAUACCGCAUACGACCUACGGGUGAAAGCAGGGGAUCUUCGGACCUUGCGCGAUUGAAUGAGCCGAUGUCGGAUUAGCUAGUUGGCGGGGUAAAGGCCCACCAAGGCGACGAUCCGUAGCUGGUCUGAGAGGAUGAUCAGCCACACUGGAACUGAGACACGGUCCAGACUCCUACGGGAGGCAGCAGUGGGGAAUAUUGGACAAAGGGCGCAAGGCUGAUCCAGCCAUACCGCGUGGGUGAAGAAGGCCUUCGGGUUGUAAAGCCCUUUUGUUGGGAAAGAAAAGCAGCAGGUUAAUACCCCGCUGUUCUGACGGUACCCAAAGAAUAAGCACCGGCUAACUUCGUG
This 492-nucleotide ribosomal RNA is filed under the name uncultured bacterium. Its description in RNAcentral is "partial 16S ribosomal RNA". It matches the Rfam family "Bacterial small subunit ribosomal RNA", at positions 29 to 507 of the family's 1533-position model. The record is from RNAcentral.